GGGAUAGGAGAAUUGGAGGGCAAGUUUGGUGCCAGCAGCCGCGGUAAUACCGACUCCAAGAGUGUGUAUGAGAGAUGCUGCAGUUAAAAAGUCCGUAGUCAUAGAAGGGCAAAGAGAGAUGCGAGGUCUCACAGUGCGAUGAUGGAGGAGCCGAUGGGGAACAUAGUAUACCAGGGCGAGAGAUGAAAUGCCAAGACCCCUGGUGGACUGAGCGAGGCGAAGGCGAUGUUCUUGUAGGCAUUCGGUGAUCAAGGACGAAGGCUGGAGUAUCGAAAGUGAUUAGAUACCGCAGUAGUUCCAGCAGUAAAAGAUGCCGACAUGCUCAUUGGACACAGUGGGCAGGGAGAAAUCUUAGAGUUCGGGCUCUGGGGAUAGUAUGCUCGCAAGGGUGAAAAUUAAAGAAAUUGACGGAGCUACACCACAAGGAGUGGAUUGUGCGGCUUAAUUUGACUCAACGCGAGGAAACUUACCAGGGCCAAGUAUUGUGUAGAAACGAGCAAUACAGGAGUGGUGCAUGGUCGUUGGAAAUUGAUGGGAUGACUUUGACCUUAAAUGGUUGAAUGAGUGAGAUCUUUUGGACAUGUUCCGCACGGAACAGGAAGGAAAAGGCUAUAACAGAUCCGAGAUGCCCUCAGAUGCCCUGGGCUGCACGCGCAAUACAAUAGCAGGUAGAGAGAGAGACAGGAAGGUGCUCAGAUGGACUAUGUGCUGUAAGGCACAUACGAAAGAGGAAUUCCUAGUAAGUGUGUAUCAACAAUG
RNAcentral lists this ribosomal RNA (759 nucleotides) under Vittaforma corneae. RNAcentral describes it as "SSU rRNA". It matches the Rfam family "Microsporidia small subunit ribosomal RNA", at positions 362 to 1159 of the family's 1311-position model. The record is from RNAcentral. Lineage: Eukaryota; Fungi; Microsporidia; Nosematidae.